Long non-coding RNA from Corvus hawaiiensis (hawaiian crow), 4372 nucleotides. RefSeq lists it as uncharacterized. NCBI's taxonomy places the organism in Eukaryota, Metazoa, Chordata, Aves, Passeriformes, Corvidae. The transcript is spliced from 2 exons. The record is from RefSeq and is a predicted model, not a curated record.
CUACUGUUCCUAAGGAGCUCUAGUGUUCUUUUUUAGCCCUGUCCCUGAUUUACUUGGGGGCCCCAUGAAGGUCUCUCACUAGAUGGAAAGCUGUAGUUUGAAAUUUUGAGAGUAACAAAUACAAGGUCUCAGAAUUUCACAGUACCUCCUCAACCUAGCAUAAUUGUUAAGGGAUUCCUAAUAAUUGUUGAGCACUGCUGUACUUGGAGAACUUUAUUGGAAGUAGGACUUUGGAGUAGCCAGGACCACUAUGACUGCUGUGGCUGGGAGUGAGGGACAGCAUUGACAAUAGAAACACAUUCUAAGGGGGUGCAUCUUGCCUCUUCUGCCAGAAUUUGGACAUGGACGCUGGACCUUUCACUACCAUUUUCCUGGAAAAGGUUUACUUGAAUCUGACACUCAUGUUAUAUUCUGAAGACUUGAUUUCUGAUUUUAUGUAUUGAAGAUCCACUUUGCUGGAGAUGAAACUGGAAAAGAAACUGGCAGCCAGCAACAGGGAAUGAGUCUCCUUCUUCAUCUACCAGUUGUCAGCAGACAAGUAGCACUGUUUUUCUGUUCAACAUGGUAUAUUUUAAAAUGGAAAAGUGAUGGAAUAACUAUCUUUCCCUACAUUUCAUUUCUUUUACACUUGAAAGUCACAAGUUUUGCUUUUGCAUGGGAAAAAUGAUUUUUUGGUAAGGAAAAUGGGAGAGCAGUGUAUGUGAAUAAUUCUGGAUAUAUGGACAAAGGGAGCAUUCACUACUCUGUGUUUUCAAUUUCUUUAUCAGGAUCCAUCUUUUGUGUUCAACUGACUAUUACUAUCACUUUCAUCUCACUUCAAUCAUACUUGUGUUGAUUUGAUCCUUAUUUAUGGAGUGUUGUGUUUCCUCAAAGGAGAGCCCUUGAUCAGAAAUAGAGAUUUUAUAAUCAUCUAGUAAUUUGUUAUGUUGAGUUGGCAAAUUCAAUUGGCCUAAUUUAAGGUUGGGCAAGACACUUCAAGUGGGUGCCAGUGAGUGAAAGGCAACUUGGAAGUCUUAGAGCUAUUAGCUGGUUAAUACUUUCAAUGUUUAAGGAUCGCUUGAGUGGUGUAGGUGUCAAGAAAAUGUAACUGCUUCGAGGGAUAACUAACUCCCUUUAGUAACUUGCUUUCCAGUUUAGCUUUAAACAGCUCUUUGAGUGUUCCUUUGCAAGCAAGCAAACUCUCCCUUCAAUUGCUGGAAAUUUAAAAUGGGCUGAAGUCACAGAGUGCACAGAAGAAACAGAUCAAGUUGCAACUCCCUAAUCAAAUUUAAGCAAGUUUUUUGGGAAUAUGCAUAAUCAGAAAGCAAUAGUAUAUAGGGGAGAUAAAAGCAGUAAUAGAGAGGCACAGCAAAAGUGGGGGGAUUAUAAUUAAUUUUUGUAUUGAUCACAGUUGCAACUUGGAAUUAUUUUAUGUAAUUUAAUUCAAGGUAUUUAGCAUCUUUAAAAGAAUAAACAUCUCUGUUUUACCAUGGGUUUUUUAUGUAGUCUUAAAAGAUCUGAAUCUCUAUUUGGGCUUGUUCAAAGGCAGUGCAUUUACUAGACACUGACUUCACCAGCAACAUAGAGUCUACAGCCCUGUGGGUGUGUGGGGUACUGCUUUGGUGACUGUCAGGAAUGAGGCAGAAAAACAAGUCCUACAAAGCAGUCUCCCCAUGUUAAAUGUCUGACUAGGCCCGCUCUUCAAAUAGGAAAAGCGUGGGGAUUCAGAAGCUGAAGAAGGUUAGGAAUCACCCUCUUUAAGUCCAAUCAAUGUUAGUGUUGGGGAAGGUGGAAGAGUGCAUGUAUACAGUGAAAACCAACAGUGCCACCUUGUGUGGGUGGGACAGGAGAGUUCGUCCACGAGGAGGCGAAUGUCCCCCGGUGUGUCCCCAGCUCCUCCACCUCGGGACUGGGAAAAGCCUCUGGCCAGCUAGGGAGAGGGCAAAGGGAAGGAUGAGGUCCCUUUAGACCUGCAGGAGGGAGGUGUUUGCUGCCCCACUUGAAAGGCAGAGGUGGUGGGUAUGUUAGGGGCAUAGCCUGACAGGGGAAGAAGGACCUACAUAAAAGCAGGUUGCUCAGUUUUUGCUUUUGUAACUUCAGCAGCUAAAGUAACGUCUGGGGGAAGAGAGGGUAAUGUGAAUUGUUUCCAUAUAGGAACGGUAGAAGUGCUACUAAAAGUCUGGUGUUGUGCAGCCUUUCAGGGGUAAAAAAGAGAUGAUUAAGAUUUAGACUCAAGCUGUGGUCAAGGGUUGCAUAACACUGAAAAAAAAUUUAUGAGACUUAGGGAGAUGAAAGCCUUCCAUGGGGGACAAAGAAGUUAGGUCCCUGCAGAUCAAGUGGAGCAGGUCUCCUGUGUGACUGAUGCCACGUUGUUUCUCAGCCUGGAAAGAUAAUGCUUAAAUGCAAAGAGAGCCUUUGGGGAAAAUAGUAUUUGCUUUACUCUAGGUCCACGAUAAGUAUGCAAAAGAGGGUGCCAGUUGCAGAGUAGGGUUAAUUUUAUUUUUUUUAGCACAAAGUAAAGCAGUGUAGGUUGGGUGUAGCCUUAGGCAAUGCAGGCUGGUCUGGAAAUACUUGUGUCUGUGCAAAAAGGAAUCUUCAAAUAAGGUAUGAAAGUGAAAAUAUUUACAAAGCAAAGAUAUUGCUAAAGGAACCCUUCUCCAGCUGUAUUUGGGGCUUCCUGGAGAAGGGACAGGGUCUACAAAAUGUUAAGCACAUUUAGGUACCAUUGCAAACAAAACAAGAAGAAUUAUAUGUGACAUAUCCACCAUGCAGGCAUCAUAUACUGAGAACUGAAAACAGUCAUUUACCAAAAAAAAAGUCAAAUGGAUUUAAAAUUUAUGAGGCUUAAAAUUCCCGUUUUCUGAAGGUCCAUACAAACUGACUUUCAAGAACACAUAAUUUUUUCACUAGUUCCACCUGAUAAAAGUGCUGAUGAACUGGUUUUGAUCAUGACUUAAUCAGAAACAAAAUUUUUAAAAAAAGUUGAGAUAAACCAAACACAAAUUAAAAUAGUCCUUUCUAAAAGGAUGAUGAUACAUAUUUGUUCAUUAGCAAAUUGGGAGCUAUGCCUUGUUUGUCACUGAGGACUUGAGACUUGAAUUUACUGGAGAGUUGCUGUGAAAAGAAUGCUGAUACUUAAAAUACACAUAAUUAUUUUACCUCAGUAACUACUUGUACAAGAGACUUUCAGUAGUAGUUCCUUUAGAGUUGCUUAUAUUUACAUAUAUAUGCAAGAACAUGAAUAAUAUUCCAUUAUCCUCAACUCUGUGUGUAAAUUAGUGCUGUCAACUCUGCUUGCCAAGAAUAUACAACCAUUAUGCCAUACACCCUACCUAUAACUGUGAAACCCUAUUUACAUUAGGGGUGAUGAGGAAUUUGUUAGGACAGCAGAUCAAGAACAGUUGUAACAGUGUUGUACUAAAUGAGGGAUCUCCUUUUAGCAGGAACAUUCCUCAGACACCUUGUCUGUCUCCUGUAAGAACAUGAACAGAGGCAGAAGAGAUGUUGGAACCCUAUAUAUCAAAAGAUAAGUUUAAAAUAUUCCCAGGAGGGAUCAGUGUGUAACAAAGGAGACUUUCUCAGCACAGGAAAUGGCAUGGAAAGACAAUGGUUUUCCUUUUUUUCCACUUACUAUGGUAAGUAGGUUUUUUUUAAAAAAAAAAAUUUGUUUCAAUCAUUUUAUAUUCAAGAGUCUUCCUAGGGAAAAACUUAAAAAUUUUUCAACAGAGUUUUGUACACCAAAGAAAUUCUACUUUUUAAUUCCAGUUCACCCCGUCAGGUCUCUUAACAGCUCUUUGUGGCAUUGUUCUUCCAUUUUUAUUAUUGUUCUUUGAAGACAGAAAUACUGAGUAAUUAUGUGUGGGACUUUUAUAAACGGAGGCAAGACUCCCAUAAAAAUCCUGACACGAGCAACUGAGCUAAACAGAAUGUUCUACACUGGAGUUGUGGUGUGAGGGAGACAGGGCAAAGCUGCCAUAACUCCUCCAGGCUUCUAGCCAGACUAUGCCUCAGUGCAGCCUUAAUACAAAACACCUCUUCAUCUCUGGGUGUGUAUGGACUGUGCAGUUCUGAGCCUUUAUUGCAGCACCCAUUGCAUGACUCUGGACGUUACUGAUACAAAGCUGUGUACGUUGGGCUGUGGUGGGUCGAUCUUGGCUGGCCAUCAGGUGCCCACUAAAUUGCUCUAGCACUCUCCUCCUCAGCAGGAUGGGGUGGGAGAAAAUACGAUGGAAAACACUCAUGCAUCAAGAUAAAGGCAGCUGAAUAAAGCAAUGACUGUGUAUAGAAGCCAAGGAAAACAGAUUUACUCUCUAUUUCCCAUCAGCAGGCAAUGUCCAGCCACUUCCCGGGAAGCAGGGCUUCAGUACACAUAGCAGUUGCUCUGGAAGACAAA